This 497-nucleotide ribosomal RNA is filed under the name uncultured bacterium. Its description in RNAcentral is "partial 16S ribosomal RNA". It matches the Rfam family "Bacterial small subunit ribosomal RNA", at positions 28 to 507 of the family's 1533-position model. The record is from RNAcentral.
GAUGAACGCUGGCGGCGUGCCUAAUACAUGCAAGUCGAGCGAACAGACGAGGAGCUUGCUCCUUUGACGUUAGCGGCGGACGGGUGAGUAACACGUGGGUAACCUACCUAUAAGACUGGGAUAACUUCGGGAAACCGGAGCUAAUAGAGGAUAAUAUUUCGAACCGCAUGGUUCGAUAGAGAAAGAUGGCGCUGCUAUCACUUAUAGAUGGACCUGCGCCGUAUUAGCUAGUUGGUAAGGUAAAGGCUUACCAAGGCAACGAUACGUAGGCGAUGUGAGAGGCUGAUCGCCCACACGAGAACUUAGACACGGUCCAGACUCCUACGGUAGGCAGCAGUAGGGAAUCUUCCGCAAUGGGCGAAAGCCUUACGGAGCAACGCCGCGUGAGUGAUGAAGGUCUUCGGAUCGUAAAACUCUGUUAUUAGGGAAGAACAACCGUGUAAGUAACUGUGCACGUCUUGACGGUACCUAAUCAGAAAGCCACGGCUAACUACGUG